CUUUUGCUCCCCCUGGGAGUUCUUGGCCGCUGGCGGGUCUUGUCCGGCAGCCGAAGCUGGGCGUGGUGGUAAUGAGAAAUGAGUCUGGUCUGCAGAGAUCUGGAGUUUGUGGAGAAAAGUAACUGGCGCAGAAAAUCAAUCACCUCGUGUGCCGUUGUUAGUGGGGAGGCAGUGUCUCCGGGGAGAAAGAUGAAAGCGCUCGGUCUCCCCGCCGUGACCAUCAUCGGGGAACCGCAUUUUGCGACGAGAGUGGGAAAGUUUCGUGCAGAUGUGGUUGGCAGCAGUCAGGCUUGCCCCUGGGACUCUCUUCUGUGGAUUUUCCCACCAGCCAUCUCUUCAGCCCAUUCAUCAUGUUCAAAAGUUUUUGAGGUCCAAGAGGUACUAACUUGUUUUGAGGCAACCCAAGACCAAGAAUGGUCUUCAGUGAAGGAGACAGAAAAAUGAGAAGGAAUAUCUGGGCAAAAUAAAAUGCUUUGGAAAAGAAGCA
This 487-nucleotide long non-coding RNA is filed under the name Lepidothrix coronata (blue-crowned manakin). RNAcentral's name for it is "lncRNA (ENSLCOG00000005031.1)". Lineage: Eukaryota; Metazoa; Chordata; Aves; Passeriformes; Pipridae. The record is from RNAcentral.